This 255-nucleotide unclassified non-coding RNA is filed under the name uncultured fungus. RNAcentral's name for it is "partial contains 5.8S ribosomal RNA, internal transcribed spacer 2, and large subunit ribosomal RNA". The stretch from base 1 to 52 matches the Rfam family "5.8S ribosomal RNA", at positions 103 to 154 of the family's 154-position model. Lineage: Eukaryota; Fungi. The record is from RNAcentral.
AACGCACAUUGCGCCCUUUGGUAUUCCGAAGGGCAUGCCUGUUCGAGCGUCAUGUAAACCUUCAAGCUACGCUUGGUGUUGGGCGCCUUGUCCCGCCUCCGCGCGAGGACACGCCUUGAAAUCAUCGGCGCCUGCCGGGACCGGCCAGGAGCGCAGCGCACAGCAGCUGCUCAAGGACCGGCCCGCGGGCUACCGUAAAGCAUCGUUAUACAUCACCUUGACCUCGGAUCAGGUAGGGAUACCCGCUGAACUUAA